UGAAAACAUGUGACCCUCUUUUCUGAUGGCUGUAAGUGAAUAGUGCUACUUAAUGUGCGGGUAAACAGUGAGGAAGGAGAUCCAAGCACUCAGUGGCAAGCAACAAAUCAAGUAACUUUAUCACCUGAUAAGGUGAGAAAAUGAGCCUGACACAGGAAACAGCAACAUUAGGCCAACAGAGACUAACGUUGAUGCCAGUCUAGUGGGCUUACCAGCUAUCCUUAUAUGAAAAGACGGUCUUGUUAUCUUCGAGGGUGACUGCAUUAACUGCCUUGAUAAGGAAAUCAAAUGUGGUGAAGGGGACCAUCUUCUGUUCUUAACAUUUCUUCUGGGGCUGUCUGACUGCAUACAACACAUCAUUGGUUCUUUGACCUUUUCUGAAACUGCACUGACACUCUCACUGAGUUAUCAUUUUAAAUGGUUCAGAGGAUUCUGGCAAAACUUUUGGCACGGACUUCUAGUGACGAUUUCUGGCAGGUUCCUUCUCACAGUGGAAUCCUCAUUUAGGAAAUAUUAAGACAAACUGCCCCAGAGAUUUCAGAAAAAGGAGAGUUGAACUGGGAAGCAUCUUUCCUUCAGCAUGCUGGACCUCAACCCAUUGCAUUCAAACUCUGUUCAAACAGAAAAUAGCUAUCUGGCAGUCAUUAACCUUUGGCUGGUAACCUCCAGCAAUUAGCUGAAAGUGUCUAAUUUUCAUAUAUUGCUUGUUAAAUAAAAAUCAAUCAAUGUUUAAAAUGACCUCCUGAAAAAAAAACAGCAUUGGUAUUCACAGAACUUGAAACAAAUCCAUUUAACUACAGCCGUUCAAGAUUCAACUCUUCAACGCAAUCAUUAUAUAAGAAGCCUUCAUAAGACCAUAUAAGGUGUAAAUGGCAAGCUAGCAGAUAUAUGACUGCAAAGUAAUUGUAUCAGGAAAGAAAUGAGAAAAGAAAGUAGA
Molecule: non-coding RNA, 937 nt
Organism: Chiloscyllium plagiosum (whitespotted bambooshark)
Lineage: Eukaryota; Metazoa; Chordata; Chondrichthyes; Orectolobiformes; Hemiscylliidae
Source: RefSeq, a predicted model, not a curated record